RNAcentral lists this ribosomal RNA (564 nucleotides) under Triticum aestivum (bread wheat). RNAcentral describes it as "partial small subunit ribosomal RNA". Lineage: Eukaryota; Viridiplantae; Streptophyta; Magnoliopsida; Poales; Poaceae. The record is from RNAcentral.
AUGGAGCUCCUGGUGGUUCCUUCGCCUCUGCCUCGUUCCAGGGACGGAAUCCCUCGCACCCACUCCUCCCGCGUCUCCACUGCUCCGAUAUGCUCCGUCGCCACCUUGCCAACCUCGCUCGCGUCGGGAUCCGGAGAUCCCUCGCCUCAAGCGUCGCCGCCCAUGGACGCCAUGGCUUCAAGCCCAAUCGUCACCGGGAAUACGUCCUUUUGUCGCAUGGAGCAACAUUGUAGGACCUCCUCCCCGCCUUGGCCUUCAAGUUGCUGCCACCGUCCUUCAUCUUCGUCGGUGACCACCAAGCUCCGCCAGGAGCCGAACUCCGUCUAUAUGGAUGCAUGUCGCUUCUUCGUCCUGGAAAAGAUCCUCGUCGCCCCGAGCUCAUGCAAGCUGUCAAGCCCCGCCGCCGCUGGGAACGAGCUCCCCGUGCCCUGGAUCCGGUUGAUCCGAGCUUCCCCAUGCCCAAGACUUCGCUGCCCCUUUGCCCCGCUCGCCGCAACUCUGCUCCCGGCCACCAGCACCCGGCUCGCCUCCUCUGCAUCGCUCUUCUUCCCCUGUAACAAAUGA